GGAGAUAUAGCUCAGUGGUAGAGCACAUGCUUAGCAUGCAUGAGGACCUGGAUUCAAUCCCUAGUACCCCCA
RNAcentral lists this transfer RNA (72 nucleotides) under Camelus dromedarius (Arabian camel). It matches the Rfam family "tRNA". From Rfam's summary of the family: Transfer RNA (tRNA) molecules are approximately 80 nucleotides in length. Their secondary structure includes four short double-helical elements and three loops (D, anti-codon, and T loops). Further hydrogen bonds mediate the characteristic L-shaped molecular structure. tRNAs have two regions of fundamental functional importance: the anti-codon, which is responsible for specific mRNA codon recognition, and the 3' end, to which the tRNAs corresponding amino acid is attached (by aminoacyl-tRNA synthetases). tRNAs cope with the degeneracy of the genetic code in two manners: having more than one tRNA (with a specific anti-codon) for a particular amino acid; and 'wobble' base-pairing, i.e. permitting non-standard base-pairing at the 3rd anti-codon position. The record is from Rfam by way of RNAcentral. RNAcentral also lists the same sequence under 1 other name. Lineage: Eukaryota; Metazoa; Chordata; Mammalia; Artiodactyla; Camelidae.